Molecule: ribosomal RNA, 484 nt
Filed under: uncultured Kineococcus sp.
Lineage: Bacteria; Bacillati; Actinomycetota; Actinomycetes; Kineosporiales; Kineosporiaceae
Description: bacterial SSU rRNA
Rfam family: Bacterial small subunit ribosomal RNA
Source: RNAcentral
CGUGAGCAACCUGCCCCUGGCUCUGGGACAACCACUGGAAACGGUGGCUAAUACCGGAUACGACCUGCACAGGCAUCUGUUGUGGGUGGAAAGUUUUUCGGCUGGGGAUGGGCUCGCGGCCUAUCAGCUUGUUGGUGAGGUGAAGGCUCACCAAGGCGACGACGGGUAGCCGGCCUGAGAGGGCGACCGGCCACACUGGGACUGAGACACGGCCCAGACUCCUACGGGAGGCAGCAGUGGGGAAUAUUGCACAAUGGGCGAAAGCCUGAUGCAGCGACGCCGCGUGAGGGAUGACGGCCUUCGGGUUGUAAACCUCUUUCAGCUCCGAAGAAGCGAAAGUGACGGUAGGAGCAGAAGAAGCACCGGCUAACUACGUGCCAGCAGCCGCGGUAAUACGUAGGGUGCAAGCGUUGUCCGGAAUUAUUGGGCGUAAAGAGCUCGUAGGCGGUGUGUCGCGUCUGCUGUGAAAACUCAGGGCUCAACU